Molecule: ribosomal RNA, 366 nt
Filed under: uncultured Glomeromycotina
Lineage: Eukaryota; Fungi; Glomeromycota
Description: LSU rRNA
Source: RNAcentral
UUGAAAGGGAAACGAUUGAAGUCAGUCAUACCAACGGGAAAUCAACCUUUUGAGCUUGGUCUCGUGGGUUUUGAAGAGUUUCAAAGCCUUCGGACUCGCGGGAUUGGGAUCUCUUGGUGUACUUUCUCGUACGGUUAGUCAACAUCGGUUUUGAAUGUCAUAAAAUGACUGGAGGAAUGUAGCUUCUUGAAGUGUUAUAGCCUUUGGUAGAUGUGAUGUUUGAGACCGAGGAUUGCAACGGAUACCCUUCAGGGCUAUUCGUCUGAUCUCUGAUACGUUGCCUUGAUGUUGAAAGCUUGCUUAUGGUGUCAGGGUAUUACGGUCAAAAGGUUAGAACGAAUUACAUUCGUUAAGGAUGUUGACGUA